AGAGUUUGAUCCUGGCUCAGGAUGAACGCUAGCGGCAGGCCUAAUACAUGCAAGUCGAACGGGAGCAAGUAGCAAUACUUGUUCUAGUGGCGCACGGGUGCGUAACGCGUAUGCAACCUACCUUCUAUUGGGGGAUAGCCUUCCGAAAGGAAGAUUAAUACCGCAUAAUAUCAUUUGAGGGCAUCUGAAGAUGAUUAAAGCUACGGCGAUAGAAGAUGGGCAUGCGUGACAUUAGCUAGUUGGUUGAGGUAACGGCUCACCAAGGCUACGAUGUCUAGGGGUUCUGAGAGGAUGAUCCCCCACACUGGUACUGAGAUACGGACCAGACUCCUACGGGAGGCAGCAGUAGGGAAUAUUGGGCAAUGGACGAAAGUCUGACCCAGCCAUGCCGCGUGCAGGAUGAAGGCCUUCUGGGUUGUAAACUGCUUUUAUCUAGGAAGAAAAUACUCUUGCGAGAGGAACUGACGGUACUAGAUGAAUAAGCACCGGCUACUCCGUGCCAGCAGCCGCGGUAAUACGGAGGGUGCAAGCGUUGUCCGGAUUUAUUGGGUUUAAAGGGUGCGUAGGCGGCCCUGUAAGUCAGUGGUGAAAGCCCAUAGCUCAACUAUGGAACUGCCAUUGAUACUGCAGGGCUUGAGUACAGACGAGGUUGGCGGAAUUGAUAGUGUAGCGGUGAAAUGCAUAGAUACUAUCAAGAACACCGAUUGCGAAGGCAGCUAACUAGGCUGUAACUGACGCUGAGGCACGAAAGCGUGGGGAGCGAACAGGAUUAGAUACCCUAGUAGUCC
RNAcentral lists this ribosomal RNA (788 nucleotides) under uncultured bacterium. Its description in RNAcentral is "bacterial SSU rRNA". It matches the Rfam family "Bacterial small subunit ribosomal RNA", at positions 8 to 796 of the family's 1533-position model. The record is from RNAcentral.